GACGAACGCUGGCGGCGUGCUUAACACAUGCAAGUCGAACGGAAAGGCCCUGCUUUUGUGGGGUGCUCGAGUGGCGAACGGGUGAGUAACACGUGAGUAACCUGCCCUUGACUUUGGGAUAACUUCAGGAAACUGGGGCUAAUACCGGAUAGGAGCUCCUGCUGCAUGGUGGGGGUUGGAACGUUUCGGCUGUUGGGGAUGGACUCGCGGCUUAUCAGCUUGUUGGUGGGGUAGUGGCUUACCAAGGCUUUGACGGGUAGCCGGCCUGAGAGGGUGACCGGCGACAUGGGGACUGAGAUACGGCCCAGACGCCUACGGGAGGCAGCGGGGGGGAAUAUUGCACAAUGGGCGGAAGCCUGAUGCAGAAACGCCGCGUGCGGGAUGACGGCCUUCGGGUUGUAAACCGCUUUCGCCUGUGACGAAGCGUGAGUGACGGUAAUGGGUAAAGAAGCACCGGCUAACUACGUG
This 468-nucleotide ribosomal RNA is filed under the name uncultured bacterium. RNAcentral describes it as "partial 16S ribosomal RNA". It matches the Rfam family "Bacterial small subunit ribosomal RNA", at positions 28 to 507 of the family's 1533-position model. The record is from RNAcentral.